UUGAUCCUGGCUCAGGACGAACGCUGGCGGCGUGCUUAACACAUGCAAGUCGAGCGGAAAGGCCCUUCGGGGUACUCGAGCGGCGAACGGGUGAGUAACACGUGAGCAACCUGCCCUCAACUUUGGGAUAAGCCUGGGAAACUGGGUCUAAUACCGGAUAUGAACCUUCAUCGCAUGGUGGGGGUUGGAAAGUGUUAGUGGUUGGGGAUGGGCUCGCGGCCUAUCAGCUUGUUGGUGGGGUAACGGCCUACCAAGGCUAUUACGGGUAGCCGGCCUGAGAGGGCGACCGGCCACACUGGGACUGAGACACGGCCCAGACUCCUACGGGAGGCAGCAGUGGGGAAUAUUGCGCAAUGGGCGGAAGCCUGACGCAGCAACGCCGCGUGAGGGAUGACGGCCUUCGGGUUGUAAACCUCUUUCAGCAGGGACGAAGCGGAAGUGACGGUACCUGCAGAAGAAGCACCGGCCAACUACGUGCCAGCAGCCGCGGUAAGACGUAGGGUGCGAGCGUUGUCCGGAAUUAUUGGGCGUAAAGGGCUCGUAGGCGGUUUGUCGCGUCGAAAGUGAAAUUCCGAGGCUUAACUUCGGGACUGCUUUCGAUACGGGCAGACUAGAGGUAGGCAGGGGAGAGUGGAACCCCAGGUGUAGCGGUGGAAUGCGCAGAUAUCUGGGAGAACACCGGUGGCGAAGGCGGCUCUCUGGGCCUUACCUGACGCUGA
RNAcentral lists this ribosomal RNA (719 nucleotides) under uncultured bacterium. Its description in RNAcentral is "bacterial SSU rRNA". It matches the Rfam family "Bacterial small subunit ribosomal RNA", at positions 13 to 749 of the family's 1533-position model. The record is from RNAcentral.